RNAcentral lists this ribosomal RNA (420 nucleotides) under Escherichia coli. RNAcentral describes it as "partial 23S ribosomal RNA". It matches the Rfam family "Bacterial large subunit ribosomal RNA", at positions 2221 to 2640 of the family's 2925-position model. The record is from RNAcentral. Lineage: Bacteria; Pseudomonadati; Pseudomonadota; Gammaproteobacteria; Enterobacterales; Enterobacteriaceae.
UCUAACGUUGACCCGUAAUCCGGGUUGCGGACAGUGUCUGGUGGGUAGUUUGACUGGGGCGGUCUCCUCCUAAAGAGUAACGGAGGAGCACGAAGGUUGGCUAAUCCUGGUCGGACAUCAGGAGGUUAGUGCAAUGGCAUAAGCCAGCUUGACUGCGAGCGUGACGGCGCGAGCAGGUGCGAAAGCAGGUCAUAGUGAUCCGGUGGUUCUGAAUGGAAGGGCCAUCGCUCAACGGAUAAAAGGUACUCCGGGGAUAACAGGCUGAUACCGCCCAAGAGUUCAUAUCGACGGCGGUGUUUGGCACCUCGAUGUCGGCUCAUCACAUCCUGGGGCUGAAGUAGGUCCCAAGGGUAUGGCUGUUCGCCAUUUAAAGUGGUACGCGAGCUGGGUUUAGAACGUCGUGAGACAGUUCGGUCCCUA